Molecule: long non-coding RNA, 6696 nt
Organism: Taeniopygia guttata (zebra finch)
Lineage: Eukaryota; Metazoa; Chordata; Aves; Passeriformes; Estrildidae
Source: RefSeq, a predicted model, not a curated record
UUUGGGGCGCCUAUUUGGACCCCCUUCCCUACUGAGAGCCGCCGGCAGAAAGGGCACUAAAGGCGAAGGGUCCCAGCUGUGCGGGGAGCGUCAGGACCCUCUAGGCGUGACGAAGCAGCGAGGGGCAGGGUGGGGGGAAGGAGCGGAGAGCAUCUGAGAGGGGUAUUCUCACACGGCAGAGAGAUAAAAUAGAAAACCUCAGUAUUUAAAAAUCAGUACUUUCUUCUGUAUCUGUUCUUCCCUUUAAUUGAUGGCGUCUGCCUGUGAAAACCGAGGACCAGAACCAGCAGAACGCGAUCAGAAGUUUUGCUGUGAGGAAAGCGUGGGGUGCCGAGGGCUCGCCAGGACGCUCAGUCUACUUAGAUCUGCUGUUGCUGCACCAGCCUCCCGGCAGCUGUCGGGGAUCCGGAUUCCACGGGCCUUUCCCUCCCGAAACAUCAGCUGCCUUCCUCUGAGUAACUGUCCAAGAAACUGCACGCAUAUUUUCGGAGGAAUUUGAAAAGCCUAAAUCUGAAAAUCUUCUCUUUUAUAAAUGACACACGAACUAUCCAUGAACAAGAAAAUACACCCAGUUUAUCCAAAUGGCUGGGUCAGGAAGUGGAAGAGGACAUGCUUCAUUUGCCUUCAACAUGGAGGUUGUUGGCUUUGGUAAAGGUGCAGCUCUACCUGAUGUCAUCUGUAAGCCUCCACCACCAUUGCCAGUAAGUACAGCCAGUAUCUUGGAGCACACUCUGUAAUAAGGUAAACUGUGUUCACACUCAUGUUUAGUGAACAUAAUGAAAUGCAUGAAAACCCCUAAGAACUUUGGAUUUUAUAAUAAGUCACCAUUUCUCUUAAAUCAUCAAAAAGGGGCUUUCCUGUCCCUUUGUUAAAUGUUGUAUCCCGUAUUUAAGUGUAUUGCUUGCAAGGAGUUAGUACGUUGAAGUCCUCAUUAUGAUUUUCUGCACAUUACAAGAAUAGAAACACUGGAAAUGAGUUUACAUUAAUCUUUGAAGCUAUAAAUAGAUUUGAUGAUUUUAGAAAAUUACUAUUUAUGCAAACAUGAAAGAUUGUGUAUGAUUGUCCUGUACUGCAGAAGCCAGCAUUUGAAAAUAAGUGAAAGAUACUUUGUGUAAUUAAGGGAGCUUGAGACUUGGCAUUUAGGAUGUAUUUGAAAAUCAAAGGGGAAUAAAGACCAUUUACUGACUGCGUUUUGAUGUGCAGGGAAGCUUGACCUACUGAACCAUAUAUUAUUCAUCCUCUUGAUCCAGCAUUGCAAUUAAGAUGUGUGAUUCCAUAUUACUAAGUCAUCUGUAACUGUUUUUUUAUGUGAAUGUUGCAGUCUGCUUGACAGCACAGUUCUGUGCCAUCUGAAUUCUGUAUACACUGCAUCUUUUGAGGUACAAUCAGGUUCACAGGGGUAUUACUAGCCCCAGUAUAUUUAAUGUAUACCAUGGACAAGGUAAGAAAGCUUUUCUCCUUCUUUGAACAAAAUUUCAGAACCAAGUUAAACUUCUCAGGGGAAAUCCGGUGCUAUUCAGGAAAAUCAGAGUUAACCUAGUUGUGUAAGUACAGUCAAUAAAAAAUUCAAGUGUUGAUUUAAUUGAUUUAAUUCAAGUGUUGAUUUAAUUUUGGACAAUGACCAAAAGUAUGUUAUAGCUUUGACUAACUUACAGUGAAAUUAUUUGAAGCAGCGAAUUAUUGCUGUUGCAUAUUUCUACUAGACACUUUGUGAGUUCACUCAAAGUUUCUGUAAAUGCAAUUAGAAACCCAAUUAAGGAGCAGCAGCUUACCAUCAGCAACAUUAAGUGAUUUAAAGCGCUGUCCAAUUAGCAAAUAUAGAUGGAAGCAGUAAGCUCCUUUCGUGGUCCAGAUCUGGGACUUGUGAUAGCACUUCAUGCUUUGCAACAUACCACUUAGUUAUUGAUUAAGCACCAUUUAUCACAUGAGAGAAACUACAUCCAUCCUGUAAUUCUGUCUGUAGUGUUCUGGAUAUUUUUAAAACUGUUUUUGCAUAUUUAUCUUUCUUUCAAGAUUAAAGUGAAACAAAAACAAAACACCCAAAAACAAACCCCAGAGAAACACCCACAAAAAACCUCCCUCAAACCCCAGAAAUACAACUCUUAACAAUUCAUUUAAACUCAGCUGGUAGAAACUGAAUUGUGUGAGAGCCUGGUUUUAGACACACAACACAACCUGUUUACAUGGUGAUAGUCAUGGGAAGAGUGUCCAUGUUAUUCAGUUAUCAUACUUAAUGUAGCUGUAACACUGUCAUAGAAGUGGUUAAGAGCAACACUACUCUGAAGAGAGAAGGACUGGUUUCUGAGAAAGUUGGGUUGGUGAGAAUAACUGCUUUUGGCAAUUAAGAGUUUAGGAUUACUAUGAAUGACUGUGUAACAGUUUUAAUAAAACUGUUUUUUUCCUUGAUUUUGUGGUACGUUUUUGUACAAAGAUAAAGUGAAGUUAUAAGGUAUAAAUUUAGUUCUAAACAUAGUUACUCUGCAUAUCAAAAUGCAAUGCAGUGUACUUGAGAAAUUGUAUAGUGCAUAGUUGCACUCUUUUUUUAUAUGUUUCUUGUAGUUUUUAUUAAUGUACCUGUAUAUUUAGUGGAUAUCAGGACCUUAUAAAUAAUAAACAUUAUUUGUACAGAGUACAGACAAUAAGCCAGUGCCUCUGAAAAGAAGAUAAGGAUUACACGUUUGCCUUAAAACAAGAUCUUAGAGAAACUACGAAAAAAAUGCUAUACUUAUUGACAGCAGGAGAUCAAUAUCAAAAGUUUGUUUAUGUGCUUUUUAUUUAUAUGUUUAUUUAUUAUUCUGGGAAGACUGAGGUAGUGAAAAACAUGUGUUGAGGAUGAGUUUCAUUCUUAUAAAGAGGAAGUAAAAAUGGCAGAAUAAGCUAAUAGGGAAUUUUUAUGCUUUUACACUUAACGAAGUCCUGUAACUGGAAAGCAGCUACUGGGUGGAAAAGAGAGGUAUCAAACUUCUAUUCUAUUUGGUAUAUAGUAAUAAACAUUUAAACUAUCUACAUGCAGCAUUUUCAAUUAUAUGCUAGCCAAUACAAGCCAAAUUGGUAUUUCUAUAUGUUACAAUACCCUAAACUUUUUCAUCAGAGCAAAGAAAUAUGUAGUAAAUACUAGUGUUGAAUUCAGCUUUAGUUGAAGUUGUGUAAAGACACACUAAGAAUAAUCAAUAUUAUAUUUAAUAGAUGGAAAUUGUAAAAGAUACUCAGGUUUUUUUUUUUUUUGUCUAAGUGCAUUCAGGAAAUAUUUGUAAGUGUUACUGACAAGUCCCUAUUAAAUACAAAGACUGAGGUGAGGAUAAGUGAUUUAUUGAAGUUUUUAUUAGAAGCAGAGCUGGAUUAGAAGCCAGAUCUUGAUCUUCUUCUGUGGGAUCUCAGAUUUUCUUUUGCUUACACAUAACUAAAAAUUAAUUGCUUUAUUAUUGUUUGAUAACAAUAAAUGCUGGAGUUAUACUUGAAAUCCAAUCAUAAAUCAUUAUACUGUUAAAAUUCAAGCUUCCUGGUCAGAAAAUUGAGCUAGCAGGAAAAAAGGAAAAAAAGCAGAAAAAGUGAUGUGUCUGUUUACCAUACUGUGAGGAUACUGUAAAUCUAGAGAUCACUCAUGUUUUUUACUGUGAGAAAUGCUUCUUUUCAUUCAUGGUUUUUUUCCUAGUUUUAUUAGCUGCUGAGUGCUUAUUCUGAAUGUUAUAAAUCUCAAGUGCUUUUACAGCUUUAUAAAAGUGUUUAAAAAACCUGAAGUGGCUAAACACUGGAUAAUAUUUUCUUUCCUAUCUUGUGGCAAUUUUGAAUAAUGAGAGCUGACAUAUAAUCUAAAAUGUAAGGUUUCAUUUCCACAUGAAACCCAUCAGAAUAUUGUCUGGGUAAAUAUUCAUGAUGAUAAUAUACAGGUGCAUAAUCCAAUCCCCUCAGAAUUUUUGUUCAUUUCUGUUCAUGGUGUAAUGGUGAAUUCUAGUUGGUAUUGAAACGGUAUGCAAUUUUUUUUAAAUUAGGCUUUGACUGUAACACUCCUUAUUGUCCAGUUGUUCACAUACUAAAGCCAUGUAUGAAAUGGAGCAGCAGUGUGAGCAGUGAACACAUUGCCAGCCAGAUGUUGUGGCUCACAAAAGACAGAUUAUUUCUCCUGAUCUGCAGCUGGAUCCCAGGUGAUGCAACCAGUUAAAAUUGGCUAUGAGGCAAGAACGGAUCUGAUCCUUAUUUCUAGAUCCUUUUAUGAUGAUAGAAGAACUUUGAAUUACUCUUUUAUCAUAUGUCCUCUUUCAUCUUCUGGGUAAACAAGUUUCAGUAUCUGUGGAUUUCCAUCUCAUUAGAGGAUAGCUGUGCUCUUGAUCUUUGUCAGGCUUGAAGUUUGCUAUUUCUGUUAGAGGCACAAAAAGGGAAAUUGCUGUGUCUGAAAUCCAGCCCGGGUUAUUUCCAAUGAACCAGCUGCUUUAUGAGACAAUGCCAUCCCUCUUUUCUGACUUUACCUCAUGUGAUUAUUCUUCCUGUUCACCUCAGUAUUAUAUUUGUUCCUGAAACCUUCUUUCUGAGAUGGAGAGAUUUCUCUCUGUUGCUGAGUGUAUUGUUUAGUGGAACUGGCAGUUUGGAAAACUGGUUUUUUUCCUACCAAAGUUGACAGUUGCAGGGAAAGCAGGUAGACAGCCAGUUUAUAGAUUCCAAUAAUGCUUCAAAUGUUCUCAUCACCUCUGCAAGGGUAAGUUGGUAAGUUGAGGUAUCUUUUUAAUGAAUCUUGAAUUGUACAAAAGUACCACAUCUGAGGGAAAAAACUACAAGAAAAAACAUCAGAGGAAUAUCUGUGAGCCAAAUGGUCCUUUGAAGUGUGAGAAGGGAAACAUUUUAAUUAGUUAGAAUGUAUCUAUCUUUCAUUAUUCAGGUAGCAAAUGAAAACCAUAUUCUCAUUCUACCUGAAAAUUUUGAUGUGCCGUGUAGCAUAGAUUUCCAUCAUUCCACACUCAUUUUGAGAGAAUAGCAGGCAUAUUCUAUAGAAAGUUCUUUAUUUACCCCACUAUGCAAGUUAUUAAUCACUCAUAUUUUCUGUAGGUAUAUCUGCCAACACUAGGUGACUGCCACCUUGGCAGUGGUUUGGAAUUAGUUCCUUAGUUAUAAGUGGCAAAAGUCAGUCAAUAUAUUUUUUUACUGAUGGCAUCAGCAAUUAUUUCUUCACUAAAGAGCCUUGGUCUGAAAUAAAAACUACUGGUUUCUUUUCCUCUAUUUGCUGAUAGUUUCCUACAUCUAUGAAUGCCCCUUGAGUCACUGUUAUUUUAAUUGUAGACUCUUUCAUGCACAAUUUUGAGAAGGUUUUCUGUUUGCCUUCAUAAUAACUAAGUUUAAGGUUUGGCUUCAUUUAUGAUGUCUUCUUUUUCCUUGGUGAGUACACACCUGAAGGGUGGAAUGCCAUACAGAGAGACCUUGACAGACUGGAGAAGGGUGCAUGGGAAUUUCAUGUGGUGUAAUAUGGUGAGCACAAAGUGCUGCACCUUGGUUGGGCCAUUGCCAGCACAUUGAGGGAGGAGUUGUUCCUCUCUCUUCCCUGCUUUGGUAGGACCCCACCCUGGUUCUGCAUAAGCUCUGGGGUCCCAGCACAGGAAGGACAGGGAUCUGUUGGAACAAGUCCAGAAGAGGCCACUUAAUUGAUCAGAGGGAUGGAGAACUUCUCCUGUGAGGAGAGGCUGAGAGAACUGGGAUUGUUCAGCCGGGAAAAGAGAAGACUUCAGGCUGAACUAAUUGCAGCCUUCCAGUAUUUAAAGGGAACUUACAGAAAAGAUGGAGUAAUAGCAUAUAGUGACAGGACAAGGGGGAAUGUCUUAAAUUGAAACAGAGUAGUUCUAAAUUAGACAUUAGGAAGAAAUUCUUUACUGUGAGGGUGCUGAGGCAUUGACACAGGUUGCUCACGGAAGUUGUGGAUGCCCCAUUUCUACAGGUGUUCAACACCAGGCUGGAUGGGGCUUUGAGUAACCUAAUCUAGUGGAAGGUGCCCCUGCCUAUGGCAGUGGGGUUAGAACAAGAUGAUGUUUAUGGUCCCUUGCAACUCAGUCUCUUCUGUGAUUCUAUGAGUCAGUGAUUAUGUGCUAGAAGUCUUUGAUGCAAAAGGUCAAAGGCUAUCUUUGUUACUAUUUUUUGUAAAAUAUCUGCAAAUGUUAUCCUUACUUAGGUUAACAGUGCAAUCAGAUUCAGUAAUUUUACACAAAGUGGAUUUUGCGUGUGGUUAUUUGGAAAGAAAAAAUGAGACUGAUUUAAAAGUACUAAAGUUUUGGUAUUGCUUUUGGCAUUAUUGAUUGUAUAAAAAAGGUUAUUCCAUAUAAAUGGAUGUACUUGCACUGUAUGACUACUGUAUUAUUUACAAUUAAUUUCUCAAUUUAGUUAUUGUGCCUGGAAUGAGGUUAAAUGGAUUCAAGUGUUUAGCUGCUGUUUUGGAUAGGAUGCAAAGCUUUUCCAUUGCAGAAGUACUGAAAGUCUUGGAAGCUGAUGAUCAGACACAACCUUUUGAGACUUGGGAAUACUGGAUACUAUUUAUGAUUAACACAGUGAUGUUAAGUGUUACUCAAUGGUUUUGUAAUAAAGGUUUGAUUGAGAAACUCUAGAAGAGUACAAAGUUAAGUGUUAUAUUUGCUGUUUCAACCUAGUCUCUGAAUAAAUUAGCAUUUAACAAAUUCUGUGCUUUUCAAGGAUAAAAGAAUAAAUUAUAGUACUUUUGGAGUA